ACGGCUCAGUAACACGUAGUCAACAUGCCCAAAGGACGUGGAUAACCUCGGGAAACUGAGGAUAAACCGCGAUAGGUCAUAAGUACUGGAAUGUUUUAUGGCUCAAAUCUACAUGGCCUCUGGAUUGGACUGCGGCCGAUCAGGCUGUUGGUGAGGUAAUGGCCCACCAAACCUGUUACCGGUACGGGCUCUGAGAGGAGGAGCCCGGAGAUGGGCACUGAGACAAGGGCCCAGGCCCUAUGGGGCGCAGCAGGCGCGAAACCUCUGCAAUAGGCGAAAGCUUGACAGGGUUACUCUGAGUGAUUCCCGCUAAGGGAAUCUUUUGGCAUCUCUAAAAACGAUGCAGAAUAAGGGGUGGGCAAGUCUGGUGUCAGCCGCCGCGGUAAUACCAGCACCCCGAGUGGUCGGGACGAUUAUUGGGCCUAAAGCAUCCGUAGCCGGUCUUGCAAGUCUUCCGUUAAAUCCACCUGCUUAACAGAUGGGCUGCGGAAGAUACUACAAGACUAGGAGGCGGGAGAGGCAAGCGGUACUCRRUGGGUAGGGGUAAAAUCCUCUGAUCCAUUGAAGACCACCAGUGGCGAAGGCGGCUUGCCAGAACGCGCUCGACGGUGAGGGAUGAAAGCUGGGGGAGCAAACCGGAUUAGAUACCCGGGUAGUCCCAGCUGUAAACGAUGCAGACUCGGUGAUGGGCYGGCUUCRUGCCRRCYCAGUGCCGCAGGGAAGCCGUUAAGUCURCCGCCUGGGGAGUACGGUCGCAAGACUGAAACUUAAAGGAAUUGGCGGGGGAGCAC
This 791-nucleotide ribosomal RNA is filed under the name uncultured archaeon. RNAcentral describes it as "bacterial SSU rRNA". It matches the Rfam family "Archaeal small subunit ribosomal RNA", at positions 85 to 879 of the family's 1478-position model. The record is from RNAcentral.